This 310-nucleotide unclassified non-coding RNA is filed under the name uncultured fungus. RNAcentral's name for it is "partial contains small subunit ribosomal RNA, internal transcribed spacer 1, and 5.8S ribosomal RNA". The stretch from base 1 to 73 matches the Rfam family "Eukaryotic small subunit ribosomal RNA", at positions 1759 to 1831 of the family's 1831-position model. Lineage: Eukaryota; Fungi. The record is from RNAcentral.
GCAAACUUGGUCAUUUAGAGGAAGUAAAAGUCGUAACAAGGUUUCCGUAGGUGAACCUGCGGAAGGAUCAUUACUAAUUAUCCACCAUAAUGGAUAAUUUUAUCCAUAUCCACCUUGUGUGAAUCACUGAACUGUUUGUUGGCAGGUUAAAGGCUUUUUCGCCUGUGAGUUUUUUUGUGGCUCGGCCUGCCAAUUUCAUUUGUUUAAACUUGUCUAAAUAUUACUAGUCUGAAAUAUAUAUAUAUAACAUAUAAUAAAUACAACUUUCAGCAACGGAUCUCUUGGCUCUCGCAUCGAUGAAGAACGCAGC